Oxyura jamaicensis (ruddy duck) is the source of this 248-nucleotide long non-coding RNA. RefSeq lists it as uncharacterized. The record is from RefSeq and is a predicted model, not a curated record. The transcript is spliced from 2 exons. Lineage: Eukaryota; Metazoa; Chordata; Aves; Anseriformes; Anatidae.
UUUUCAUUGAGCUGUCCUCAUCCUAUGGAUUGGGAGCUGUGGCCUGUGUGGCCCCUUGAACUGCUGCUGGGGUGGGAGCUGCUCUGAAGAACCUUUUUGUGGGACUACUGCUCUCUGCACAGCUCUGACUCAACAACAACCUUUCCUGGUGACCUGAGGCACCAACAGGAGAUACUUGCCCUGUGCAUGGUAUGCAGGCAUGCCAGCUAGCUGCUUUACUAAAACCUGACUUUUCAUGCUUUUGAUGA